This is a non-coding RNA of Arachis ipaensis, 3089 nucleotides long. Lineage: Eukaryota; Viridiplantae; Streptophyta; Magnoliopsida; Fabales; Fabaceae. The record is from RefSeq and is a predicted model, not a curated record.
UACCACCCUUCUUCCCGUGUUGGCGUUUGCAAAGCAUAUGCAUACGCACUAUUGUCCAUUUUCCUUUCUGUACGCACGACGCACUCUCAAUUCACCAUCCUCUGUUGGGAGCACCGGCACAGUUGGUGCGUCCGCAUUUCCCCCUUAGAUGAGAACCGUGUGACUCCUCAGUACCCCUUUCCUCCUUCCCCAACGUUCAUCCCUAUCCUCUCCUUCUCCGUUUCAACGCCCACCACCCACCAACGAACCAACCGCCGCCGCUCACUACCACCGGCGACCAUCCAGCCACAACCCUUUCUCUUCUCCUUUCGUCUUCUCUGAGCCAUCCAACACCCACCAUCUUCCUUAUCACCACCGCGAAGUUCUCUACUUCUGUUUCAAAUCUCCAUCAUUGUCCAUCCGCUCUGCAACCGCGGCUUUCUCCUCCUCUCUUUCUUCUUCUUCCCCUCGCCUUCCCUCCGCAAGUCCACAACACCGCCGCGCCCCUUUCUUUUCUUCUUCCUCUCUUCUCACCUUCGCCGCGGGGUCACCACAACAACCAGACCAUCACUCCUUCUUCAUCACCCUCUUCAGCCUUCCCUGACCUCCAACCAUCACCGUCGACCACGACCCUCUUCCUUCUUCUUCCCUUCGCAGCGCCGCCAUUGCAACCUCCUUGGCUCAGCGCCGAACCAGUCUCUAGCCACACCAACCUCUUCUCAUCUCUCCACGAACCCUGAUCCACACCCCUGUCCGAACCCUGGAGCCGCCUAGGGCGAUUGAACCUUCGGCGACACCACCCAGCACGCCUCAACACCUUCACUGUUUCGACGCCUCACCUCUGCGAUUCCACCAUCGCCGCACCCUCCUCGCCGAACCACAUGCUGAGCACCACCGCACCCCAGGAGCUUACCCCUGCAUCUCAGCCUCUGUUCCGCCACUGCCGCUUCUGCCUGCACCCCUGUUGAAGCCGCCACCUCUGGGCCGGCAUCCAUCUGCUUCCGAACCCCCCUGUUGCUCCAUCCCUCCACCUCUGCUGCUGCACAACCCCCGCUUCCCCUAUUUUGGCGUUUUUCUUUUCUAUUCUUCAAACAGCAUCACCAUCAUUCUUGCAGCCACUCUAUCGCCUAACCCACCAGCUGAAGGUGGAGGUGACACAAUGACGACUCCUUCCACUCCGCAUGAUCGUGAGCACCGAGGACGGUGCUACAUCUUAAGUGUGGAGAGGUUGUACAUCUUCAGCAAGUGCAUUUUGGGUGACAAUUUUCAUUUCUGAACACUUUAUUAAUAUAGUUUCUUUUUAUGUUUUUUUGGUACUUUGUAUAUAUUUUAUCCUUUUGAGAAAUUUUUUACUUAGUUUAUUGCACUUUUCAAUUUUGCUUGUACAUAACUUAGUAUUAUAUAGUAGUUAUGCAUAUUUUGACAUUUUGCUCUUAAUUUUGGCUUGUACAUAUGCUUUUUGGUUUUUAGUCUUGAUUGUGAUUUGGGAUGAUGUGAUGAUUGCACCUAAGUUUGGUUUCCUAUAUACUUGCUAUUUUGGUUUGAUUGAAAUUAGAAAUUAAACUUAGGAUUUUUGACUUUUUCCAUCCAAUCACACUAUAUACAUAUAUAGAAUAAAUGUUAGUCAAAUUAAUGAAGUUUCCAAAAAGCUUACUUUUUAUAUAGGGCAUUGAAAUUCAAAUUGAAAUGAGCUGAAAUCUUUUGAAACUUGCAUGAUUUAUACAUUGUGGAAUAUGGUUUUUGAGUUGAAGAACAUACAACAUGUGAGUUUUUGAGCCUUAUUGUGUGGUUAUACCAUUUGACCAUUUAUUUCAUUCUUGUGUGUUGCUCUUCUCUAUGAUUGCAAUCUUGGGUUUGUUUAAUUCUAUAUAUCCAUUGUUUAAUGUAUAUUUAUGCAUUUAUGUGAUUGAUGCCAUUAUUUCUUUAUAGCUCACUUAACCUAAAUAGCCUACCAUUUCAUUCACCUUUAUUUACCACUUUGAGCCUAUGAAUGCCCCCUUUUUGUUCUUUAUUUUGCCACAUCAUUAACCUUAAGCGAAAAAUAAUUAAUUGUCCUAUUUGAAUCUUUGAGUAGCUUAAGUUAGUGAGAGUGUGUGAUGUUUAAGUGUGAGAAAAAUGUGGGAACUUUGAUUGAUGAAUAGGUGUUUUAAUUGUUGUUGAAAAAUAUUGAAAAUUUGGGGUGCAUACUCAUGUAAUAUUAUAGAAACCAUAUGCAUUGAUAUGUUGGUAUAUAUAUAUUAUGUUCAAAAAAAAAAAAGAAAAAAAAGAAAAAAAAAGAAAAAAAAAAGAGAAAUAAUGAAAAGGGGACAAAAUUACCCCAAUAUGAAAUUCAAUAAUAAUCAAUGUAUAUGUGAUGGAAUUGAAUUUGAUGCAUGAGUGUGUGUAUAGGUAAAAGUGAGAUUGUGGGUAGUUAAGUUUGAUAUUAGAAGUUUAUAGGUUGUGUGUGUAUUAGGUGAUAAUUUAGGCUAAUCAAAGAUUCAAAUGCAAGCUCACCUAGCCAUAUAUACAUCCUUAUCUUUAACCUUAGCCUCAUUACAACCUUGAAAAGAUCUCAUGAUUUUUGCAUAUGUACAUUAAAUUUUUGUUGAUUAGUUAGAUGAAGAGCAAACUUUAGAAAACAUGAUUAAAGGAGAAUUGAGUGGAUUGACCCUAAACACUUAAGUGAUUAGAGUGCAUACACAUAUCCGGUGAGGGUUCAAUCACUCAAUCCCAUAUUUUCACCUUUGAUCAUUGUUAUCUUGCAAGUUUUCUUAAAUUCUUUUAUAUGACUCAAUUCAAUUGUGAAUGUGAUUUGGUUAUGAUUACUUUAGCCCUUGGUUGUAUAUAGAUGCUUUCUUGAAAAUUGAUUUAUUUGGACUAAUUAAAUACAUAUAGAUAGUUAGAUAGUAUAGUUACAUACAUAUAGAUAGAUUGCAUAUAGAUAGUUACAUUGAAUAUUUGUUGAUUCUCCUUCUUCUUUUCCUUUGGUAUAGCAUGAGGACAUGAUAUUGUUUAAGUGUGGGGAUGUGAUGAAUCCACAUUUUACGAUAUUUAUUUGCUCUAUUUGGAUGUAUUUCAUCAACCUUUCUUGCAUUUAUCCAUUGAAAUAGCAUGCUUUUGUGAAUUCUUUC